Molecule: non-coding RNA, 2887 nt
Organism: Theobroma cacao (cacao)
Lineage: Eukaryota; Viridiplantae; Streptophyta; Magnoliopsida; Malvales; Malvaceae
Source: RefSeq, a predicted model, not a curated record
AAAUGCUAUCUGGAAGAAGGGAAACAUAAUCCCUCUGGGAAUUAUAUCAUAUACUUUUCUGCUUGUUCCCUCUUCAGGUAUGCAUAAAGCAUUUCGAACAGGAUUUCGCCCAAUUUAGGGACAAUAACUGUUUGGACGAUGUUAGAUAAGAAUCCUUCUUCUUAGGUACUUGUAGUGGAGGUUAAUGUUUUAUUGACAUGUGGGGUACUGCCUUCUGAACGAAUUGUGGGGCUUCAGUUGCAGGACCUAUAGGAAAUCCUGCAAGUUAAAAGAAUUUGUAGAGAGAAAAAUAAAGAUCAGAGAGAGGAAGGAGGCUUCACAGAAAAAGUACUCACAUGCACACAUUGGCUGUUCUUUGACCGUUUUGAGCAUCAGAUAUGUGAAAGUUUGCAGAUUGUAUCCCUUUAAUGUCUAAAUUUUUUUUAAUGGAAGUGGAUUCCAUACUUUAAUUGUUUAAUAACUACUUGGUUGAAACCCAAAACUGUCACACAAGAAUAGUGCCUGACAUUUCUUUAAAGAAUCAACUAAACAAUGCUGACAAUUAAAGCUACUUCCACAAUCCAACGUAUGCAAUAGUUGUUUAUAUUUGACGGUUAUGCAAGGUUAAUAUUGCCUCACACUGAUGCAAGUUGUUGACUUUUUCAGUAACGUAAUAAUAGUUCUUUUGCAACUUCUUGUUUAAGGUGUUGUUAUUCUUUUAGCAAACUUCCCUGGAGAUUCUUUUUAUGGUCUACACAAAAGAUAUUAUUGUAUUCAUCUAUUUCUUUUUCUUUUUUGUUUUCUAUGUAUAUGACUUGUUUCGUAGCACUUUCAUUUACACUUUUUUAAUCUUUUUCCUUUUUUGUUUCUCCAGAGUAGCCCUUAAAAUGAAGAGGCUGGUAUAUCCAUUAGGAGCAUGUUUUGAAUUAAAUUGGUCAGUUAAAGAUGUGGCAAAAUUUCCUUGGCACAUCGGAGUAUUUGCUUCAUGGCAACAUCUGUCAAAUGAUGCUUCUCAUUGCAUGGACAAAAUUUUGAAACCUUUUGAUGGGUUUUGAGAGACAAUUAUGAAUGGGACCUACUGCUGCUCCAAAAUGCAAGCAAAUAAACUUUAUUCUUCUCAUUAGCUUAAUAUUAUCUAGAAGUGUCCAAAAAUUUUGAAAUAGAUGAUCAAAAUUUUCAGUUGUUGUAUAUAUCUGCUGGAGCAUACGACUUGAUUGAGAGUGAUAAUCUGUUUUAUAUUCAUCUGUGCUAACAUGAGGUCAGGUCUUGCCUUGGUUACAGUUUACCAUUUUAACCAUAUCAGGAAAGAUGAUUUAGUAUCUCCAGUUGAAGCAGGAUGGAUUACUCAUCUAUGAAGUUCUAAGUACUGUGAGCAGGUAUGCAAAGGGCUCUGUUCCAAGGUGCAAUACACGGCAUGUGAUUUUUGUCUGGUGGGCUACCAUCUAGCAACGCAAUGUUUUUUAUGUCCACAACUGUGCACCCAAGUUACAUUGAAACUAUAGGAGACACUAGGUCACAAGAGGCAAGAGUACGUUAGACAGCAAAGCAGAACUGUAUGAUAACAUUAAUCUUGAAUUCUUGGCCAUGACCUCACUAAGCAAGCAUGUCACAAGCUCCAGUUGUUGAAGUUUGCAACUUCCUCUUAUUUUUUCUUAUGGGGUCUUCAUUUAUUUUGAUAUGGAUCUGAUGAUGUUGUAGUUGCAUGCUUAUACCUAAAUGUGCAAGUUGCAUUAUGGCAUGGUAAAAAUAAAUAUAUGGUUUCACAUGGUCCAUUUUUAUUUCAUUUUGUGGAAUCAACCACUGCAGAAAGAUUAAUUCUUCCAGUCUUAUGGAGAAGUAUAAGUAGAAUAGUUCUAAACUCAUUGGAAAUUUUGGGUUGCAGGAUAGUAAAUAUAAGUUAAUUGAAGCCAUUGAACUUGUGUUGAUAGAGUCCCGCUCCCCCACUGUAGUAAUUCUGCUACACUAGUUUGGCAGGUCAGCAUGAUGUAUAAAGUUGUCCUGAGCUUGGUCUCUUGCCUUUAUCGGCUUCCUUACAAGCAUCUGAGUACCAUUGUUCUGUAGAAUGACCAGCAUUUUGUUUCCUUGUUAUCUUCUUCUAAGUAAUUCAACAUGUAAUGACAGUAGAAUUUGGUUAUUGCUGGGGGCUCUUAAAACUGGUUUUAAUUCUAUAUGGAUGCAGAAGAGAAGUUCAUCUUGUAUUCAUGCUAACUCAUCGGCAAUGCAAGAGCAGCACAGUGGAUGGAGGGGACAGAAAGGAGACAAAACUUGAUAAUGAGUUUGACCCCAACGCAAAAAAGAAAUGCGGAAAUUCUCUAAUUUCAUGGUCAAGACAAACAAGCCAUCAUCGGCUUUUAUCUGUAAAUGUUGCUUUACCUCUCUCAUGGAGGCACGUGACUGGACCACGUGGAUCGAGGUUGGUGUCCAACCAUCCAAGUCAGCGCUCGCGACUGGCAACAACAACUGUGAAAAUCUAUUUAUUUAUUUUUCGAAGAAAAGAAAGCCUCUCUCUUUAGCUUUCUCGUGAGGUCAUGACUAAUGAAUCAUGAUCCUUAACGUGGGCCCUAUCCGAUUGUUGUAAUGUUAUCGGCACCACCUUCGUACCAUAUACACAGGCCCUUCCUGGUGUGCUUGGCUCAGGGUCCCUAAGGCCUGGACUGGGUUGAGCUUUGUUCUGGCCCAUGAUCACCGCAUUUCGGAAGCCUAGUAGAAUGGGGGUAGUAGUUGUUGACAGACCUUCAACUAUUGUAUCAUCAAACAGCUGAUAUUCACCCCAAGACUUUGUACUUAACCUAAUCCAAAAGAUUGAGGAAUGUAUAACAACGAUCAGGAAUCAGGUAAUCGCGACACUCGCAAUUAUCCUUAAAAACUUAUCCGACCUCUGAACAUAUCCAUGGCACCGAUUUGGCUA